RNAcentral lists this ribosomal RNA (409 nucleotides) under uncultured eukaryote. Its description in RNAcentral is "SSU rRNA". It matches the Rfam family "Eukaryotic small subunit ribosomal RNA", at positions 570 to 990 of the family's 1831-position model. The record is from RNAcentral.
GCACCCGCGGUAAUUCCAGCUCCAAUAGCGUAUAUUAAAGUUGUUGCAGUUAAAAAGCUCGUAGUUGGAUUUCUGCGAGGGUGCCAAUGUCCGCCGACGCGCGUGCGCAGCGGCGCCCUCGCAUCCUUCUGUUACCACCUCUCGGCAUUCACUUGCCGGUGGUCGGCUCAGAGAAUUUACCUUGAGAAAAUUAGAGUGUUUCAGGCAGGCUAGGCCGGAAUACAUUAGCAUGGAAUAAUGGAAUAGGACUACGGUCUCGUUGUUGGUUUGAGGGACUGCAGUAAUGAUUAAUAGGGAUAGUUGGGGGCAUUAGUAUUUAAUUGUCAGAGGUGAAGUUCUCAGAUUUGUUAAAGACUAACUUAUGCGAAAGCAUUUGCCAAGGAUGUUUUCAUUAAUCAAGAACGAAAGU